Molecule: ribosomal RNA, 253 nt
Filed under: uncultured bacterium
Lineage: Bacteria
Description: partial 16S ribosomal RNA
Rfam family: Bacterial small subunit ribosomal RNA
Source: RNAcentral
UACGUAGGUGACAAGCGUUGUCCGGAUUUACUGGGCGUAAAGAGCGCGCAGGCGGUCGUUCAAGUCGAGUGUGAAAGCCCCCGGCUCAACUGGGGAGGGUCAUUCGAUACUGAUCGACUCGAAGGCAGGAGAGGGAAGUGGAAUUCCCGGUGUAGUGGUGAAAUGCGUAGAUAUCGGGAGGAACACCAGUGGCGAAGGCGGGUUGCUGGGCUGACACUGACGCUGAGGCGCGAAAGCCAGGGGAGCGAACGGG